UCUUGACUCCACUGCAUGAAAGAAGUUCAUUGCAAAACAAAAGUGUGUGCUGAAAGCUGGGUCAUGGUGGACUGCUUGAGAAUUAGACAGCCCUGUCUCAUGCUGGGGAAAUUCCCUUUAUGGGCAGUUUAUACAAUUAUUCAUAAGAAGGUGGAGAUGGGCAUUGCAGUGAACCAUGUGACCAGUGGUCUUCCGGGUACACAUGUGCCACUGCUCUGCAUGCUAGCACAUACAUCACAUGGCUCACUAAGCCUCUUAGAUCUCCAGCCAGGGGUGUGUUUUUUACUAUUCCAGUUGGAACAGGUCAGCCCAAGGACACUAAGCAUGGGUUUCUGUGUUGGCGAGAAUCUGGGAGUUUUCCCUUCUGCUGUUCGUCCUCCUUGCUGCAGGAUCUUCCACCCACAUAGAAGUGGAUGUGGUUUGUACCCAGUCAAGUGGUUUGUUCUCUCCAUCUGUCUGGCAAGUUCAUUCCCCUUUACAAAAGGCUAUGACCACUCUAAUCUAUUUCAAAAGAAUGGAGGAGGGAGGGAACAGGAACAACAUCAUGAACUGAAGAUGAGGAUGUUGAGGAGAAGCAGCCGGAGAGCAGCCAAGAAAACUUUGUGUUUUUUGAUAGCUCAGUGAGGGCCAGUUGAAAUGUCAAGCAUGGAAAUGAUCCUAAAAACACUGAUGCUCAGGGUCACCUUUCUCAGACAUUGAUUCAUUGCUCUUUAAAGCCGAAGGUUGGAUGUGAAGGGUAUACUACUAUCAUGGGACCAGUCCCUGAAAUAUGCAGAUUUAUGUGCAACCUAUGUUAGGCCUUGCUCCUUUCUGCUCUCAUGCAGCCAAGGGAUCACACCUUUGCUUGAACAUCAUCUACUUAUUGGAAGCUAGAACAUUAGACAUUUUAAAACAUUUUUCUCUGCCAGUCCUGUGAUGGUUAUUCUUGCUGUUCUGGGGAUUUUCUAAUGACCUCCAGUAUGUAAUACCAACAGGACACUGAGUGUGGAAAGAAAAGCAGUUUGUGAUUUACUGGCCAUGGAUCUUGUUUUCUUAAGUACUGUACAUGCUUUUCUCUGUUGGGUACAGCAUCUCUCUCCUAAACUGACUUUCAAAGUCCUCCAUAAUCAGUCAUUUCAAAUCUACCCUUGUGACUUCCAAUUCAGCCAGGCCAGGUACACCCUAACUAUACCUGCAGUUUUCUCACCAUUGAGGAGUUUUCCAUUCCACCUCAUCCACCGCACCUUUGAGCUUUGUUUCCAUACAUCUCAAGCCCACCCAUCUUUGAGUCCACUUCUAGUUCUCUCUAUCAUACGUUGAUCACCCAAUCUCUCCUUGAUCUAAUUCUUUUGUCAGUUACUAUGUUUAAAAAUUAUUGGUCAUCAUGUAGGAAACUGUAGGUUUAGGGUCCUUUAAAAAAAUGUUGUUCUUCCCCAUCUCUACCAAAAAUACAAAAAAAAAAAAAA
This 1445-nucleotide long non-coding RNA is filed under the name Macaca fascicularis (crab-eating macaque). RNAcentral's name for it is "lncRNA (ENSMFAG00000048460.1)". The record is from RNAcentral. Lineage: Eukaryota; Metazoa; Chordata; Mammalia; Primates; Cercopithecidae.